This 4812-nucleotide long non-coding RNA is filed under the name Mytilus galloprovincialis (Mediterranean mussel). Lineage: Eukaryota; Metazoa; Mollusca; Bivalvia; Mytilida; Mytilidae. The record is from RNAcentral.
UCUCCCUAACAGAUUAAACAAGGUCCCAGUUGUAUACAAAUGAUAUUUUACCAAGCAUAGUUUAUGUUGGAAGUGGUUGUUCUUUUAUUUACGCCCCUCUCCCUAAAGAUAAAACAAGUCCAUGUUGUAUACAAAUAUAUUUUUACCAAAGCAUAUUUAUGUUGAAUGUUUUCCUUUAAUUUUUCCCCGCUCUCCCUAACAGAUUCAAACAAUCCAUGUUGUAUACAAAUGAGUAUUUUACCAAGGCAUAUUUAUGUUGAAAGGUUUUCUUUUAUUUACGCCCCCUCUCCCUAACAGAUAAAACACGUCCAUGUUGCUAUACAAAUGAUAUUUUACCAAGCAUAUUUAUGUUGGAAGUGUUUUCUUUUAGUUUCCCCGUUCUCCCCCCCAUAACAGGAUUAAACAAGUCCAAUGUUGUAUACAAAUGAUGAUGUUUACCAAGGCAUAUUUAUGUUGGGAAGUGUUUUCUUUUAUUUACGCUCCCUUUCCCUAACAGAUUAACAAGUCCAUGUUGGUUAUACAAAUGAUAUUUUACCAAGGCAUAUUUAUGUGGAAGUGUUUUCUUUUUAUUUACGCUCCCUUUCCCUAACAGAUUAAACAAUCCAUUGUUGUAUACAAAUGAUAUUUUACCAAGCAUAUUUAUGUUGGAAGUGUUUUCUUUUAUCUACGCUCCCUCUCCCUUACAGAAUUAAACAAGUCCAUGUUUAUACAAAAUAAUAUUUUACCAAGAUAUUUUAUGUUGAAGUGUUUUCUUUUAUUUACGCCCCUCUCCCUAACAAUUAAAACAAGUCCAUGGUUAUCAAAUGAUAUUGUACCAAGGCAUAUUUAGUUGAAGUGUUUUCUUUUAUUUUCACCAAACGCCAUCUACCUAAACAGAAAUUAAACAAGGAUCCAUGUUGUAUACAAAUGGUAUUACAAAGGCAUAUUGAUGUUGGAAGUUUUCUUUUAGUUAGCCCCCCUCUCACCUAACAGAUUAACAAGAUCCCAUGGAUGUAAUACAAAUGAAUAUAUAUUACCAAGGCUAUUUAUUGUUGGAGUGUUUCUUUAUAUUUACAGCCACCCCUCUCCCUAACAGAUUAAAACAAGUCCAUGUUGUAUACAAAUGAUAUGUUACCAAGACAGUAUUUAUGUUGGAAGUGUUUAUCUAUUUAUGUUACGCUCCCAUCUCAUAACAGAAUUAAACAAGGUCCAUGUUGUAUACAAAUGAUAUUUACCAAGGCAAUUUAUGUGGAAAAGUUUGUCUUUAUAUUUACCCCCUUUCACCUAACAGAUUAAACAAGCAUCCAUGGUAGAUAUACAAAAUGAUAUUUUACCAAUGACACAUAUGUGGAAGUGUUUUCUUUGUUCACCCCUCUCCCUAACAGAUUAAACAUGUCCAUGUUGUAUACAAAUAUCAUUUUACCAAGACAUAUAUAUGUGAGAGUGUUUGCGUUUUAUUUACGCCCCCUCUCCCUUACAGAUUAAAACAAGUCCAUGUUGUAUACAAUGGUAUUUUACCAAGGCAUAUUUAUGUUGAAGUGUUUUCUUUAUUUACGCCCCCUCUCCCCAACAGAUAAAACAAGUCCAUGUUGUAUACAAAUGAUAUUUUACCAAGGCAGAUUUAUGUUGGAAGUGUUUUCUUUUAUUUACGCUCCCUCCCCCUAACAGAUUAAACAAGUCCAUGUUGUAUACAAAUGAUAUUUUACCAAGGCAUAUUUAUGUUGGAAGUGUUUUUUUUUCUUUACGCUCCCUCUCCCUAACAGAUUAAACAAGUCCAUGUUGUAUACAAAUGAUAUUUUACCAAGGCAUAUUUGAUGUUGGAAGUGUUUUCUUUUAUUUACGCCCCAUCUCCUACAGAUAAACAAGUCCAUGUUGUAUACAAAUGAUAUUUACCAAGCAUAUUUAUGUUUGGAAGUGUUUUCUUUUAUUUACGCUCCCUUUCGCCUAACAGAUUAAAACAAGUCCAUGGUUGUAUACAAAUGAUAUUUACCAAGCAUAUUUAUGUUGGAAGUGUUUUUUCUUUUAUCUACGCUCCCUUCGUCCCUUACAUAUUAACAAGUCCGAUGUUUGUAUACAAAUGGAUAUUUUACCAAGGCUAUUUAUGUGGAAGUGGGUUUCUUUUAUUUACGCCCCUCUCCCUAACAGAUUAAACAAUCCAUGCUGUAUACAAAUGAUAUUUUACAAGGCAUAUUUAUGUUGGAAGUGUUUUCUUUUAUUUCCCUUCUCCCUAACAAUUAAUCAAGUCCAUGGUUUACAAAUGAUAUUUUACCAAGAUUAUUAUGUGAAGUGUUUUCUUUAGUUACGCCCCCUCUAACCUAACAGAUUGAACAACGUCCAUGGGUAUACAAUAUAUUUACCAAGGCAGAUUUAUGUUGGAAGUGUUUUCUUUUAUUUACGCUCCCUCCCCCUAACAGAUUAAACAAGUCCAUGUUGUAUACAAAUGAUAUUUUACCAAGGCAUAUUUAUGUUGGAAGUGUUUUUUUUUCUUUACGCUCCCUCUCCCUAACAGAUUAAACAAGUCCAUGUUGUAUACAAAUGAUAUUUUACCAAGCAUUAUUAAUUUAUGUUGGAAAGUGUUUUUAUUUACGCCCCCUUUCCCUAACAAGAUUAAACAAGUCCAUGGUGUAUACAAAUGAUAUUUUACCAAUGCAUACAUAUGUUGAAGUGUUUUCUUUUAGUACGCCCCCCUCUCCCUAACGAUAAACAUGUCCAUGUUGUAUACAAAUGAUAUUUUACCAAGACAUAUUUAUGUUGGAAGUUUUUCUUUUAUUCACGCUUCCCUCUCCUAAACAGAUUAAACAAGUUCGCAUGUUGUAUUACAAAUAUAUUUUACCAAGGCAUAUUAUAUGUGGAAGUGUUUCCUUUUAUUUACGCCCCCUCUUCCCUGAACAGAUAAAACAAGUCAUGUUGUAUUACAAAUGAUUAUUUACCAAGCAUAUUUAGUUGGAAAGUUUUUCUUUUAUUUUCCCCGCUCUCCCCUAACCAGAUUAAACAAGUCCAGUUGUAUACAAAUGAUAUUUUUACCAAGGCAUAUUUAUGUUGGAAGUGUUUGUCUUUUAUCUACGCUCCCUCUCCCUUACAGAUUAAACAAGUUUCAUGUUGUAUACAAUAUAUUUUACCAAGGCAUAUUUAUGUUGGAAGUUUUUCUUAUUAAUUACGCCCCUCUUCCUACAGAUUAAACAAGUCCAUGUGUAUACAGAAUGAUAAUUUUUACAACUUGAAGCAUAUUUAUGUUGGAAGUGUUUUCUUUUAUUUCCCCGCUCUCCCUUAACAGAUUAACAAGUCCAUGCUGUAUACAAAUGAUAUUUACCAAGGCAUAUUUAUGUUGGAAGUGUUUUCUUUUAUUUACGCCCCUGCUCCCUAACAGAUUAAACAAGUCCAGUGUGUAUACAAAUGAUAUUUACCAAGGCAUAUUAUGUUGGGGAAGUGUUUUCUUUUAUUUACGCUCCCUCUUCCCUAACAGUAUUAAACAGUCCAUUGUUGAUAACAAAUGAUAUUUUACUAAGGCAUAUUUAUGUUGGAAGUGUUUUCUUUUAUUUUUACGCUCCCUCUUCCCUAAACAGAUUAAACAAGUCCAUGUGUUGUAUACACAUGAUAUUUAUACCAAGGCACAGCUUAUGUUGAAUGUUUUCUUUUAUUUACGCCCCGUCUCCCUAAACAGAUUAAAAAAGUCCAUGUUGUUAUACAAAUGAUAUUUACCAAGGCAUAUUAUGUUGGAAGUGUUUUCUUUUAUUUACCCCUCUCCCUAACAGAUGAAAAAAGUCCUAUGUUGUAUACAAAUGAUAUUUCCAAAGCAUAUUUAUUUGGGAAGUGUUUUCUUUUAUACCCCCCUCUUGCCCUAACAAGAUGUAAACAAUUCCAUGUUGUAUACAAAUGAUAUUUUACCAAGGCAGAUUUAUGUUGGAAGUGUUUUCUUUUAUUUACGCUCCCUCCCCCUAACAGAUUAAACAAGUCCAUGUUGUAUACAAAUGAUAUUUUACCAAGGCAUAUUUAUGUUGGAAGUGUUUUUUUUUCUUUACGCUCCCUCUCCCUAACAGAUUAAACAAGUCCAUGUUGUAUACAAAUGAUAUUUUACCAAGGCAUAUUUAUGUUGUGGAAAGUGUAUUGUGUAUAUACGCUCCCUCGUCCCUAACAGAUUUAAAACAAGUCCAAGUGUAUACAAAUUGGAUUUUACCAAGACAUAUUUAUUUGUUGGAAGUGUUUUUCUUUUAUUUAACCUCCCUCUCCCUUACAGAUUAAACAAGCCAUGUUGUAUACAAAUAUAUUUUACCAGGCAUAUUUAUGUGGGAAGUUGUUUUCUUUAUUUUACGCCCCCUCUCGCCUAACAGAUAAACAAGUCCAUUGUAUACAAAAUUAUUUUACCAAGGCAUAUUUAUGUUGCAAGUGUUUUCUUUUAUUUUACGCUCCCCUCUCCUAACCAGAUUAAACAAGUCCAUGUUGUAUUACAAAUGAUAUUUACCAAGGCAGAUUUAUGUUGGAAGUGUUUCUUUUAUUUACGGCUCCCUCUCCCUGAACAGAUUAAACAAGCCAUGUUGGUCAACAUGAUAUUUUACCAAGCGCAGAUUUAUGGGAAGUGUUUAUAUCAUUUAUUUACGCUCCCUCUUCCCUAACAGAUUAAAACAAGUCCAUGUUGUAUACAAAUGAUAUUUUACCAAGGCAGAUUUAUGUUGGAAGUGUUUUCUUUUAUUUACGCUCCCUCCCCCUAACAGAUUAAACAAGUCCAUGUUGUAUACAAAUGAUAUUUUACCAAGGCAUAUUUAUGUUGGAAGUGUUUUUUUUUCUUUACGCUCCCUCUCCCUAACAGAUUAAACAAGUCCAUGUUGUAUACAAAUG